UGAUCCCUUCCCGAACUCAGAAGUGAAACGAUGCAUCGCCGAUGGUAGUGUGGGGUUUCCCCAUGUGAGAGUAGGUCAUCGUCAAGC
This 87-nucleotide ribosomal RNA is filed under the name Pseudomonas benzopyrenica. Lineage: Bacteria; Pseudomonadati; Pseudomonadota; Gammaproteobacteria; Pseudomonadales; Pseudomonadaceae. The record is from RNAcentral.